RNAcentral lists this ribosomal RNA (936 nucleotides) under Salmonella enterica. RNAcentral's name for it is "partial 23S ribosomal RNA". It matches the Rfam family "Bacterial large subunit ribosomal RNA", at positions 1998 to 2925 of the family's 2925-position model. The record is from RNAcentral. Lineage: Bacteria; Pseudomonadati; Pseudomonadota; Gammaproteobacteria; Enterobacterales; Enterobacteriaceae.
GGCGUAAUGAUGGCCAGGCUGUCUCCACCCGAGACUCAGUGAAAUUGAACUCGCUGUGAAGAUGCAGUGUACCCGCGGCAAGACGGAAAGACCCCGUGAACCUUUACUAUAGCUUGACACUGAACAUUGAGCCUUGAUGUGUAGGAUAGGUGGGAGGCUUUGAAGUGUGGACGCCAGUCUGCAUGGAGCCGACCUUGAAAUACCACCCUUUAAUGUUUGAUGUUCUAACGUGGACCCGUGAUCCGGGUUGCGGACAGUGUCUGGUGGGUAGUUUGACUGGGGCGGUCUCCUCCUAAAGAGUAACGGAGGAGCACGAAGGUUGGCUAAUCCUGGUCGGACAUCAGGAGGUUAGUGCAAUGGCAUAAGCCAGCUUGACUGCGAGCGUGACGGCGCGAGCAGGUGCGAAAGCAGGUCAUAGUGAUCCGGUGGUUCUGAAUGGAAGGGCCAUCGCUCAACGGAUAAAAGGUACUCCGGGGAUAACAGGCUGAUACCGCCCAAGAGUUCAUAUCGACGGCGGUGUUUGGCACCUCGAUGUCGGCUCAUCACAUCCUGGGGCUGAAGUAGGUCCCAAGGGUAUGGCUGUUCGCCAUUUAAAGUGGUACGCGAGCUGGGUUUAGAACGUCGUGAGACAGUUCGGUCCCUAUCUGCCGUGGGCGCUGGAGAACUGAGGGGGGCUGCUCCUAGUACGAGAGGACCGGAGUGGACGCAUCACUGGUGUUCGGGUUGUCAUGCCAAUGGCACUGCCCGGUAGCUAAAUGCGGAAGAGAUAAGUGCUGAAAGCAUCUAAGCACGAAACUUGCCCCGAGAUGAGUUCUCCCUGAGACUUAGAGUCUCCUGAAGGAACGUUGAAGACGACGACGUUGAUAGGCCGGGUGUGUAAGCGCAGCGAUGCGUUGAGCUAACCGGUACUAAUGAACCGUGAGGCUUAACCUUACA